AUGCCCUUUAACUCUUGUAUUCUAAGAAUAUGUGGGCAACUACAGUCUGUUCCUCUUCAUCAUGUUAUUCAGAACAAUAUAGAUACCUGUCACUUCUCUCCUUACUCAGGCUGUAAUUCCAUGGGACUAUGUCACUCUCUGCAUGGAAGCUGUCACCCAACUCUGAACCAUACAGCAAAAAUUAAUUGGCCUCUACUUAACCAACAGCCUGUGUACCAGGAAUAUGCUCCAGACUCCCCACCUUGGAGGAGCAGGUCACAGUGGGGGAAGGCGAGCUGGCCUGAAUGUUUCUUCUUCUGUCCAGUAGCACAGGAUCAACUCUUCCUGAAUUCCCACCUGUGAGGAUCCCAUUUUGCAUGUACCAAGCAAAGACAUUUUUAGAGGCUGAUAGUUUUCUCCCAGGAAGCCUCUGCCCAUGCUGAGCUGUUUGAAGUUAUGGCAGAUCCUCUGUGCUGACCAGACAGGUCAUGUACCAUAGACAGUGUGUCCCAAGUGUCAAGUGUUGGGCAGGACACUUUCCAGUCUUGCCUACUGGCUCCAGAAAUGCGGGCAAACUGACUUUUCCGUGCUCAUAUCUCCACAGUAAGGAAUAGAGAAGAAGAGGAAGGCGACGGCUCAGCAGUUGUAGUGUGGAAAACAGACAAGAAGAGGGGUGGGAAGCAAAGACAGACUGAGGAAGGCGGGACAUCUCAGGCAGUGAUGUGAUGGAGGAGAUGGGACACGCUGGUCUGUAAUUGCUUAAGGGCACUGCUUGCAGAGACUGGACUUGAAUUCAGUACUCAUGGCCCAGCCUGGUGAGACUCGGGACCAAGUGCUGAGGCUGAACAUGGUGCUACGACCCAGCAAGUACAAAACAGAAGGGAGAGAGCAGGUGUCUUCCUGAGACUCUCUUUUUUAGCACAAUGUCUGAUAAUGUAUACAGCAAGGUCCUGAGAUAUUUCUGGACCCGGAUGGGGCUUUGAGCAACCUGGUCUAGUGAGAGGUGUCCCUGCCCAUGGCAGGGGGUGGGGCUGGAUGAUCUUUAAGGUCCCUUCCAACCCAAACCAUUCUGUGAUUCUAUGGUUCUGUCAACAGCUGAGAGUGCAGUGAGACCAGGAUCUUUACAAAUUGCACAUGUAAUUAAUAUUUCUUAUGUACCUAGUGUGUUGGACGGCAUAUCUUCAGGCACGUUAAGGGAACAUACCCACUGCUUGCAAGUGGGGGAUGGAGCUGGAUAAAAUGGAAUAGAAUGGCUCCCUGUGGAGAAGGCGUGUGGGGAGGGAGAAACGCCCGGGGAGCAGCGUACUGAACAGUGGAGGUCUGAGCCUCAAGUGGAAGCCAUGGAAACUGCAUUUCCACUAGACAGGAUGCAGAAACUGGGGAAAACCCUGGAGGUGUAAGGGGUGGUAGAGUUAUCAUGUGCAGCCUGGACCCUCACCCUUCCAUCAACAGGAUGGACCCUCACCAUCCUGCAAGGAUGGUGGACACAGGAGCUCUUAAUCUGUGCCUUGUUAAAUGUAUGCACUAGGGUACAGUAGCACAAUAUUUGCUUUAAUUUGCUUGCAACCUUUUUUUUUUCCUCCAGUGCUUCAAGAUUUCUUCUCUGGAUCUUUGCUUUACAAUUUGACAAAUUAAUUUCUACCUUACUUUACUGUAAGGUCUCAGGAGACAAAAUAAAGCAG
Molecule: long non-coding RNA, 1661 nt
Filed under: Calidris pugnax (ruff)
Lineage: Eukaryota; Metazoa; Chordata; Aves; Charadriiformes; Scolopacidae
Description: lncRNA (ENSCPUG00000007120.1)
Source: RNAcentral